CGAGUCGGCCAGGCGACCGCGGCAGAUGUCGAGGAACGUCCGGGCACCGCAGGGCAGAACGGUGGGUAACGCCCACCCGGGGUGACCCGCGGGAAAGUGCAACAGAGAGUAGACCGCCACGGCUAUGCCGAGGUAAGGGUGAAAGGGUGGUGUAAGAGACCACCGGCGCUGUCGGUGACGGCAGCGGCCAGGUAAACCCCGUUCGGUGCAAGACCGCGCAGCAGGCGAGCGGCCCGCUCAACACCUGCGGGUAGGUUGCUAGAGCGUGACGGUAACGUCACGCCAAGAUAGAUGGUCGCCGCCGAUCUUCGGAUCGGAACAGAACCCGGCGUAUCGGCCGACUCGUCCC
This 349-nucleotide RNase P RNA is filed under the name Bowdeniella nasicola. Its description in RNAcentral is "Actinomyces nasicola Bacterial RNase P class A". It matches the Rfam family "Bacterial RNase P class A". Rfam says of the family: Ribonuclease P (RNase P) is a ubiquitous endoribonuclease, found in archaea, bacteria and eukarya as well as chloroplasts and mitochondria. The record is from Rfam by way of RNAcentral. Lineage: Bacteria; Bacillati; Actinomycetota; Actinomycetes; Actinomycetales; Actinomycetaceae.